UCCUAGUCUUUUGCACGGAGGUGAGAGGU
This 29-nucleotide non-coding RNA is filed under the name Rattus norvegicus (Norway rat). The record is from RNAcentral. Lineage: Eukaryota; Metazoa; Chordata; Mammalia; Rodentia; Muridae.